GAUGAACGCUAGCUACAGGCUUAACACAUGCAAGUCGAGGGGAAACGAUGAGAGAGCUUGCUCUCUUAGUCGUCGACCGGCGCACGGGUGAGUAACGCGUAUCCAACCUGCCUCUGACCAAGGGAUAACCCGUCGAAAGUCGGACUAAUACCUUAUGCAGUCGUCGGAAGUCAUCUGAUGACGACGAAAGAUUUCAUCGGUGAGAGAUGGGGAUGCGUCUGAUUAGCUUGUUGGCGGGGUAACGGCCCACCAAGGCGACGAUCAGUAGGGGUUCUGAGAGGAAGGUCCCCCACAUUGGAACUGAGACACGGUCCAAACUCCUACGGGAGGCAGCAGUGAGGAAUAUUGGUCAAUGGGCGUAAGCCUGAACCAGCCAAGUAGCGUGCAAGAUGACGGCCCUAUGGGUUGUAAACUGCUUUUAUGCGGGGAUAAAGUGAGGGACGUGUCCUUCAUUGCAGGUACCGCAUGAAUAAGGACCGGCUAAUUCCGUG
RNAcentral lists this ribosomal RNA (491 nucleotides) under uncultured bacterium. RNAcentral describes it as "partial 16S ribosomal RNA". It matches the Rfam family "Bacterial small subunit ribosomal RNA", at positions 28 to 507 of the family's 1533-position model. The record is from RNAcentral.